CACCUCAUCAAUCCGCUCCUAUCAAUGUCCCAGCCAUGGAGGUGACUUCGAGUGCUCAGAAGCCUUAGAAAAUGUCAACGUUUUGGGAGAAAAGGUGAGGAAAAAGAGACAAGAGUUUGGCAGCAAGUAACUUCCAGAGCUGGGAAUCAAGCUAAGCUUGCUGACAUGGUGUAUCCUGAAAUGGAGAGAGUUAAAUGAAGAAUUUGAAAUCCUCCUAAGGCCAGAAACCUGCGCGUGCUUUGGAUGUAAGUAACAUUUGUCAAGCCUGAAUUUUAGAAAGUUUGUAUAACAUUUAAUUCAUUGUUUUAAUCCAAAGGAGAACAUCCUGUUUACUGAGCCCUCAGAGUUGUUGAAAUAUGAAUAUGAAAUAGGAAUCCUUUCAACAUCCCAGAUUGUUCCUAUUUUUAUUUUUAUGUCUGAGAGUAUGGAUGUUCAGAGACGUUAAGUAACAUACUCUAAAUAACAUAGGUAAAAAGUACCAGGGCCAGGAUUUAAACCUGGUUUUGAUCAUUUUAAGGCCCAUGGGAAGGCCUACCACUUGCUAUCAAGACACAUAAAGCACAGUGCCUAGAGUGAGCUAACAACCUAUUAUAGAUUCCACAUGCAUCCCAUUUUCUGAGGCUUGUUAAAUUGUCUGAGAAAGGGCAUUAUGAUCAGUUUUCUUCAGUAAAUUUCACCAGUUUGGCCAAAGCCACUGAGGCAAGGUGACCUGAACGGCAUGUUGGUUAAUGUAGAUUCAAACCUGGAUGGUUGUUUUAUUUCUUUGUGAUGCUUGCCUGAUCUGGAAAGAAAGCAUAUCCUGUUGACUGAAGGAGAUUGGAGGUCAAAAACAGAAUGAGGAAAAUGGGGAUAGAGAAUUAUUGGGGCUCCUAAGCGAUAUGAAUGGAAUGGAGAGAAUCUGACAAAAAACGUUCUAUGGGGGACUUUUCCCUUGAUUAAAUUAGAGCUAUUUGGAUAGCUAAUUGAAUGAUAGGGUCCAGGAGAAAAGAGCAGCAACCUUAUGAAACCUUUCUUCUUAUAUUUUUAAGUCGUUGGGCAGUUUUACAGCACACCACAUUAGGCGGGAGCAAAGUUUCUUUGCUCAUGGUGAGUUAGCCUCAGAAAUUUCUACACAUACAUCUUUUAAGGAAGAUGACUGUAUAUUUUGGUCAAAGCUAGUAAGGUCAUUGCUUUUGUAUGUUGCUUAAACCUUUCCUGAUAAUGCGCUAUGAACCUCCCUUCCUAUCCCCUGUAGUUGCAUGACUUCUGCUGAGAAUGGGUAGGGAUGCUCAGCCAGGCUGCUGGCUCCAUGCUACUUAGCUGUAACUUAAUAUUCCUAAGUGAAACUUGUUUUGGAGCUUAAGAACUCUGGGAGGUAUUGGUUGCUCCUUCACAUUUCCUGCCACAAACAUUUCCAACUCUCCUUGGAGCAUAAGAGGUGUGGGAGGGGAUGGUGAGGUCUGAGGCAGCCUGCUGUUUGGUGGGUCACAGUUUCCCCUCACCAGGGCUCCCUUUACUCCUUUUGAGUGUGCUGAUAUAGAAUGGGGAUGUGCUUGCAGCGGAAUUUAGUUGGAAGAGAAGGGCUCUGUGGGUCUGGAGUUCAGUCUUUCAGUCAUGGAGCUGGAGUGCCCUCUGCUGCUCUGGAGAGGAAGGUGCAUGAACAGCAUGGCUCUUGCCUGCACUUUGCUCCAGGUACAGGAAAAUCUCCAAAAUGCUCCCUUUGAAAACCAGUGCUCGGUUGAUCACUAAGCAUCUGGUUUCACUCAACUGUGGGGACUUUGGCUUUUUCAAGGAAAUCUCAUUGAGGCUGAGUAUGCAACCAGACCAGAGCCCACGUGGAAGGUAGCUUUCCUUCGGUCAAAAGGUGUGACAGCCAUUUCAGGAUAGGUAUUUGGCUUAUUUUUCAUGAGUGUCAGUGUCACCAUGAAAUAAGUGUUUAUUUUGUGUGUGAUCAAUCUUUUCAUAUAUAUCUGG
RNAcentral lists this long non-coding RNA (1953 nucleotides) under Sus scrofa (pig). Its description in RNAcentral is "lncRNA (ENSSSCG00040003266.1)". Lineage: Eukaryota; Metazoa; Chordata; Mammalia; Artiodactyla; Suidae. The record is from RNAcentral.